CGUUCAUUGAAGGAAUGCGAACUAGCAGUAAUUAUUAUUAACUAUGGGAAAAAAUUGUUGGAUUCCUCACAAAGAACCUCACCUGGCCAGUCAGGAGCUACAGGAAGUGAAGAAACACAUAAAAUUAAGAAGAUUUCUGCAAAGACAUCCCAUUUAGCUGCAAUGGAAAAAGCAACAGAAAAUCUAAAUGCUCUUGAAUCGAAUCUCCUAAGACUGACACAACCAGCUCGUGGAUCAGAGCUUGCAGGACAGGAAGAUCCUUUGUUCCUCUACCCUAUAAUUUCAUGCUGGACAUCCA
RNAcentral lists this long non-coding RNA (298 nucleotides) under Chrysolophus pictus (golden pheasant). Its description in RNAcentral is "lncRNA (ENSCPIG00010012149.1)". Lineage: Eukaryota; Metazoa; Chordata; Aves; Galliformes; Phasianidae. The record is from RNAcentral.